This 669-nucleotide ribosomal RNA is filed under the name uncultured bacterium. Its description in RNAcentral is "bacterial SSU rRNA". It matches the Rfam family "Bacterial small subunit ribosomal RNA", at positions 140 to 826 of the family's 1533-position model. The record is from RNAcentral.
GGGACAACCGCUGGAAACGGCGGCUAAUACCGGGUACUCCGGGAGGGCCCCAUGGCCCUGCCGGGAAAGCCGAGACGGCGCGGGAUGGGGUCGCGGCCCAUUAGGUAGACGGCGGGGUAACGGCCCACCGUGCCCGCGAUGGGUAGCCGGACUGAGAGGUCGACCGGCCACAUUGGGACUGAGAUACGGCCCAGACUCCUACGGGAGGCAGCAGUGGGGAAUUUUGCGCAAUGGGGGAAACCCUGACGCAGCAACGCCGCGUGCGGGACGAAGGCCCUCGGGUUGUAAACCGCUUUCAGCAGGGAAGACUUUACGACGGUACCUGCAGAAGAAGCUCCGGCUAACUACGUGCCAGCAGCCGCGGUAAUACGUAGGGGGCGAGCGUUAUCCGGAUUCAUUGGGCGUAAAGCGCGCGUAGGCGGCCGCCUAAGCGGGACCUCUAACCCCGGGGCUCAACCCCGGGCCGGGUCCCGGACUGGGCGGCUCGAGUGCGGUAGAGGAGAGCGGAAUUCCCGGUGUAGCGGUGGAAUGCGCAGAUAUCGGGAAGAACACCGAUGGCGAAGGCAGCUCUCUGGGCCGUCACUGACGCUGAGGCGCGAAAGCUGGGGGAGCGAACAGGAUUAGAUACCCUGGUAGUCCCAGCCGUAAACGAUGGGCGCUAGGUGUGGG